Molecule: ribosomal RNA, 498 nt
Filed under: uncultured bacterium
Lineage: Bacteria
Description: partial 16S ribosomal RNA
Rfam family: Bacterial small subunit ribosomal RNA
Source: RNAcentral
ACGAACGCUGGCGGCGUGCCUAAUACAUGCAAGUCGAGCGAAGUUUUUCUGGUGCUUGCACUAGAAAAACUUAGCGGCGAACGGGUGAGUAACACGUAAAGAACCUGCCUCAUAGACUGGGACAACUAUUGGAAACGAUAGCUAAUACCGGAUAACAGUAUUUCUCGCAUGAGAGAUAUUUAAAAGUUGGUUAUGCUAACACUAUGAGAUGGCUUUGCGGUGCAUUAGCUAGUUGGUGGGGUAAAGGCCCACCAAGGCGACGAUGCAUAGCCGACCUGAGAGGGUGAUCGGCCACACUGGGACUGAGACACGGCCCAGACUCCUACGGGAGGCAGCAGUAGGGAAUCUUCCGCAAUGGGCGAAAGCCUGACGGAGCAACGCCGCGUGAGUGAAGAAGGAGUUCGGUUCGUAAAGCUCUGUUGUUAGGGAAGAAUGGAUAUGUAGUAACUAUACAUGUAAGAGACGGUACCUAACCAGAAAGCCACGGCUAACUACGUG